GCUUUGCCGAGGAGUCCUAUACUAGGACGAAACGGCCGUCCAAUGC
RNAcentral lists this non-coding RNA (46 nucleotides) under Schistosoma margrebowiei. The record is from RNAcentral. Lineage: Eukaryota; Metazoa; Platyhelminthes; Trematoda; Strigeidida; Schistosomatidae.